CCAGUCGGUCGGAGAACCGCGCUUAUUUAAAGUAAGUGAGGAAAGUCCGGACUUCACGGAAGCAUGGUGCCGGUUAAUGGCCGGGCGGGGUAACCUGACGGAAAGUGCAACAGAAAACAAACCGCCCAUUUUCGAAUGGGUAAGGGUGAAACGGUGCGGUAAGAGCGCACCACUCGUCCAGUAAUGGACAGGUACGGCAAACCCCACCAGAAGCAAGACCAAAUAGGGGCUGCGCAUAACGCGUUUCCGAGUUGUGGCCCGGGUAGGUUGCUAGAGAUAUGCAGUAAUGUAUAUCGGAGAGGAAUGGUUCUCGUCCCGCAAGGGAUACAGAAUCCGGCUUAUAGACCGACUGGCAUU
Molecule: RNase P RNA, 357 nt
Filed under: Rhodospirillaceae bacterium
Lineage: Bacteria; Pseudomonadati; Pseudomonadota; Alphaproteobacteria; Rhodospirillales; Rhodospirillaceae
Description: RNase P RNA component class A
Rfam family: Bacterial RNase P class A
About the family: Ribonuclease P (RNase P) is a ubiquitous endoribonuclease, found in archaea, bacteria and eukarya as well as chloroplasts and mitochondria. Its best characterised activity is the generation of mature 5'-ends of tRNAs by cleaving the 5'-leader elements of precursor-tRNAs.
Source: RNAcentral